GCCCUCAGGAGGGGGAUAACGGUUGGAAACGACCGCUAAUACCCCAUAUGCCUACUGGUGAAAUGAAUUUCGCCUGAGGAUGAGCUCGCGUCUGAUUAGCUAGUUGGUGAGGUAAUGGCUCACCAAGGCUUCGAUCAGUAGCUGGUCUGAGAGGAUGAUCAGCCACACUGGGACUGAGACACGGCCCAGACUCCUACGGGAGGCAGCAGUGGGGAAUUUUCCGCAAUGGGCAAAAGCCUGACGGAGCAACGCCGCGUGAGGGACGAAGGCCUCUGGGCUGUAAACCUCUUUUCUCAAGGAAGAAGAUAUGACGGUACUUGAGGAAUAAGCCACGGCUAAUUCCGUGCCAGCAGCCGCGGUAAUACGGGAGUGGCAAGCGUUAUCCGGAAUUAUUGGGCGUAAAGCGUCCGCAGGCGGCUUUUCAAGUCUGCUGUUAAAGCGUGGAGCUUAACUCCAUCAUGGCAGUGGAAACUGAAAGGCUUGAGUAUGGUAGGGGCAGAGGGUAUUCCCGGUGUAGCGGUGAAAUGCGUAGAUAUCGGGAAGAACACCAGUGGCGAAGGCGCUCUGCUGGGCCAUUACUGACGCUCAUGGACGAAAGCCAGGGGAGCGAAAGGGAUUAGAUACCCCUGUAGUCCUGGCCGUAAACGAUGAACACUAGGUGUCGGG
RNAcentral lists this ribosomal RNA (666 nucleotides) under uncultured bacterium. RNAcentral describes it as "bacterial SSU rRNA". It matches the Rfam family "Bacterial small subunit ribosomal RNA", at positions 128 to 827 of the family's 1533-position model. The record is from RNAcentral.